RNAcentral lists this ribosomal RNA (386 nucleotides) under uncultured Geobacillus sp. RNAcentral's name for it is "bacterial SSU rRNA". It matches the Rfam family "Bacterial small subunit ribosomal RNA", at positions 995 to 1382 of the family's 1533-position model. Lineage: Bacteria; Bacillati; Bacillota; Bacilli; Caryophanales; Anoxybacillaceae. The record is from RNAcentral.
AAGGAGUAGUUGGGGUCCCGUUCCCCGUCGGGGGCAGGGUGACAGGUGGUGCAUGGUUGUCGUCAGCUCGUGUCGUGAGAUGUUGGGUUAAGUCCCGCAACGAGCGCAACCCUCGCCUCUAGUUGCCAGCAUUCGGUUGGGCACUCUAGAGGGACUGCCGGCGACAAGUCGGAGGAAGUGGGAUGACGUCAAAUCAUCAUGCCCCUUAUGACCUGGGCUACACACGUGCUACAAUGGGCGGUACAAAGGGCUGCGAACCCGCGAGGGGGAGCGAAUCCCAAAAAGCCGCUCUCAGUUCGGAUUGCAGGCUGCAACUCGCCUGCAUGAAGCCGGAAUCGCUAGUAAUCGCGGAUCAGCAUGCCGCGGUGAAUACGUUCCCGGGCCUU